RNAcentral lists this ribosomal RNA (253 nucleotides) under uncultured bacterium. Its description in RNAcentral is "partial 16S ribosomal RNA". It matches the Rfam family "Bacterial small subunit ribosomal RNA", at positions 524 to 776 of the family's 1533-position model. The record is from RNAcentral.
UACAGAGGGGGCAAGCGUUAUUCGGAAUUAUUGGGCGUAAAGGGCGCGUAGGCGGCUUUGCAAGUGACGGGUGAAAGCCCUCGGCUUAACCGAGGAACUGCCUGUCAGACUGUGAGGCUUGAGACCGGGAGAGGUGAGUGGAAUUCCCAGUGUAGCGGUGAAAUGCGUAGAUAUCUGGAGGAACACCGGUGGCGAAGGCGGCAUCCUGGACCGGCAUUGACGCUGAGGCGCGAAAGCUAGGGGAGCGAACGGG